UUUGAUCGUGGUUAUAUAUCACCUUAUUUUGUCACUGACAGUGAAAAAAUGGCAGUUGAAUAUGAGAACUGCAAGUUGCUUCUUGUUGAUAAGAAAAUAACAAAUGCAAGGGAUCUCAUUAACAUUCUGGAAGAGGCAAUCAGGGCUGGAUACCCAAUUCUGAUUAUUGCUGAAGACAUUGAGCAAGAAGCGCUGGCAACUCUUGUUGUGAAUAAACUUAGGGGUGCUUUGAAGAUUGCUGCUCUCAAAGCUCC
Molecule: unclassified non-coding RNA, 254 nt
Filed under: Hevea brasiliensis (rubber tree)
Lineage: Eukaryota; Viridiplantae; Streptophyta; Magnoliopsida; Malpighiales; Euphorbiaceae
Source: RNAcentral